Molecule: non-coding RNA, 74 nt
Organism: Ictidomys tridecemlineatus (thirteen-lined ground squirrel)
Lineage: Eukaryota; Metazoa; Chordata; Mammalia; Rodentia; Sciuridae
Source: Rfam
GGGGAUAUAGCUCAAGUUGGCAGAGUGCUUGCUUUGCAUGCACAAGGCCCUGGGUUCAAUCCCCAGCACCACCA